AGUUUGAUCCUGGCUCAGAUUGAACGCUGGCGGCAUGCCUUACACAUGCAAGUCGAACGGUAACGCGGGGGCAACCCUGGCGACGAGUGGCGAACGGGUGAGUAACGCAUCGGAACGUGUCCUUUUGUGGGGGAUAACCUGGCGAAAGUCAGGCUAAUACCGCAUGAGACCUGAGGGUGAAAGCGGGGGAUCGCAAGACCUCGCGCGAGAGGAGCGGCCGAUGUCCGAUUAGCUAGUAGGUGGGGUAAAGGCCCACCUAGGCGACGAUCGGUAGCGGGUCUGAGAGGACGGCCCGCCACACUGGGACUGAGACACGGCCCAGACUCCUACGGGAGGCAGCAGUGGGGAAUUUUGGACAAUGGGGGCAACCCUGAUCCAGCCAUGCCGCGUGUGUGAAGAAGGCCUUCGGGUUGUAAAGCACUUUCGGCGGGAACGAAAUCGCUCUGGCUAACACCUGGGGCGGAUGACGGUACUCGCAGAAGAAGCACCGGCUAACUACGUGCCAGCAGCCGCGGUAAUACGUAGGGUGCGAGCGUUAAUCGGAAUUACUGGGCGUAAAGCGUGCGCAGGCGGCUUUUUAAGCCAGAUGUGAAAGCCCCGGGCUCAACCUGGGAACUGCAUUUGGGACUGGAAGGCUAGAGUGCGGAAGAGGGGGGUGGAAUUCCACGUGUAGCAGUGAAAUGCGUAGAGAUGUGGAGGAACACCGAUGGCGAAGGCAGCCCCCUGGGUCGACACUGACGCUCAUGCACGAAAGCGUGGGGGAGCAAACAGGAUUAGAUACCCUGGUAGUCCACGCCCUAAACGAUGUCAACUGGUUGUUGGGGAAGGAGACUUCCCUUAGUAACGUAGCUAACGCGAGAAGUUGACCGCCUGGGGAGU
RNAcentral lists this ribosomal RNA (879 nucleotides) under uncultured bacterium. RNAcentral describes it as "bacterial SSU rRNA". It matches the Rfam family "Bacterial small subunit ribosomal RNA", at positions 10 to 881 of the family's 1533-position model. The record is from RNAcentral.